UUCAGGGGCAGCAACCUAACAACGGGUUGUCCGAUUCAUCUGAAAAUUUCAGGGCAGAUAGAUCUUGACCUGAUAAACAAUUUUACCCCAUGUCAGAUUUGCUCUAAAUGCUUUGGUUUUUGAGUUAUAAGCUAAAACUGCAUUUUACCCCUAUGUUCUAUUUUUAGCCAUGGCGGCCAUGUUUUUUGAUGAAAUGGGAAUUAAAACACAAACUUUAUUCUAGAUACCCUAGGAAUCAAUCAGAUGAAGUUUGGUUUGAAUUGGUUCAGUAGUUUCAGAGGAGAAGAUCUUUGAAAUAGUUUACGACGACGACGACGGACGGACGACGACGACGGACGGACGGACGACAACGGACGCCAAGUGAUGGCAAAAGCUCACAUUUCCUUUUGGAAAGGUGAGCUAAAAAG
Molecule: long non-coding RNA, 407 nt
Filed under: Mytilus galloprovincialis (Mediterranean mussel)
Lineage: Eukaryota; Metazoa; Mollusca; Bivalvia; Mytilida; Mytilidae
Source: RNAcentral